UGAUGAAAGAGAAGAUCUACAGCAGAAGAGACGUCACCUGGAGGCUCUGGAUGUGACAGCAGAUGAUCUAGCAAUCAAGUUCCACAGACAAGGUGAAAAACCCAAAUGGAAUCACCGCCAAAGACGCCUCUAUUUUCAAGACCCAGAGCCACCACAUCAGCUUGAACAUAAUUUUCAUCAUAACCAUUCUGCGGAGGCGAGUGGUGGCCAGAAAAAGAGACUGAUUGAUUCCAAUCAAAGAAGACGUCACGUCUGAUUCGCCCUAUUUCAACACUUCUUUCUGAAUUACGGGAAAAAUACAGUCCUCAAUCUAACAUGGAAUGCUUCCCAGACAAUCCAACUCCACAACAAAAAAUGAAAUAUAUAUUGAGUUUGAUGAAGAGCCGGUGGAUAAUCGUGUUGGCAGCACUAAUUGGUGCACCGGUUCAAUAUGUCAUAUUAUGCCAACAUAUGUGGAGUCUAUGUUGCCAAGAGAUGCAAAAUGCAGAACCUUUUAUAUUGGACAAUGCCUGUAUAACGAUUCAUGAGUACUUUAAUUUAUACUGUCAAAGAGAAGACCUUAUAAAUAUUAAUCUACGUGCCGUUGGUCAAGUUAGGACCCCACCUUUGGAUAGAGAUCUCAACAGAUUUUACACUGCACUUCAAUGUACUGAACAAACAACUGCAAGGUGGAGGGAAAACAGCAGAAAGAAUGUUUUGCAAUAUCAAAACAUUUGAGAGAAAACUACAGGUUUUUGAAAGCGACCUUGAAAGUGGGCAGCUAAAAUAUUUUCCAAAUCUAAAAAAGCAUUUAGAAAAUGCUACAGCAUUUGCAGACAAUCCUACCAGCCACCAGGAACUCUACAAGGAAUGUUCUAGCAUCCUAGCAGCUGCAAAGGUGAAUUUUAGUAAAAGAUUUUUACAAUUCCGUAAAUUGGAGACAACCCUGUGUUUUCUCACUUCUCCAG
Long non-coding RNA from Bufo gargarizans (Asiatic toad), 947 nucleotides. RefSeq lists it as uncharacterized. The transcript is spliced from 5 exons. The record is from RefSeq and is a predicted model, not a curated record. Lineage: Eukaryota; Metazoa; Chordata; Amphibia; Anura; Bufonidae.